Cyprinus carpio (common carp) is the source of this 171-nucleotide small nuclear RNA. RefSeq annotates it as U1 spliceosomal RNA. Lineage: Eukaryota; Metazoa; Chordata; Actinopteri; Cypriniformes; Cyprinidae. The transcript has a single exon. The record is from RefSeq and is a predicted model, not a curated record.
AUACUUACCUGGCAGGGGAGACACCAUGAUCAAGAAGGCGGUUCACCCAGGGCUUAGGCUCGUCCCCAUUGCACUCGCCGUGAAGCGAUGGACUCUCAUGAACUCCCCCAAAUGUGGGAAUCUCGACUGCAUAAGUUAUGGUAGUGGGGGACUGCGCUCAGCCUCCCCCCC